Molecule: small nucleolar RNA, 107 nt
Organism: Eutrema salsugineum
Lineage: Eukaryota; Viridiplantae; Streptophyta; Magnoliopsida; Brassicales; Brassicaceae
Rfam family: Plant small nucleolar RNA R71
About the family: R71 is a member of the C/D box family of snoRNAs containing the C (UGAUGA) and D (CUGA) box motifs. Multiple nearly identical copies of this snoRNA have been identified in Arabidopsis, and it is thought to function as a 2'-O-ribose methylation guide for 18S ribosomal RNA.
Source: Rfam
AAUCCAUAGGGAGGGCACUGGUUUGUAUAGCUUCUGAAUCUCUCCCAGGUUUCACCAAGUGUCUCAAUGUUGUGUUGGGUGAAGGAAGAGAUCUGAUUCCUGAGCUU